UGGAUUUUUGGAUCAGGGA
Molecule: microRNA, 19 nt
Filed under: Pan troglodytes (chimpanzee)
Lineage: Eukaryota; Metazoa; Chordata; Mammalia; Primates; Hominidae
Also listed under: 1 other name
Description: ptr-miR-1290
Source: miRBase by way of RNAcentral